This 481-nucleotide ribosomal RNA is filed under the name uncultured bacterium. RNAcentral describes it as "partial 16S ribosomal RNA". It matches the Rfam family "Bacterial small subunit ribosomal RNA", at positions 28 to 507 of the family's 1533-position model. The record is from RNAcentral.
GAUGAACGCUGGCGGCGUGCUUAACACAUGCAAGUCGAACGAAGCACUUUAUUUGAUUUCCUUCGGGACUGAUUAUUUUGUGACUGAGUGGCGGACGGGUGAGUAACGCGUGGGUAACCUGCCUUGUACAGGGGGAUAACAGUUGGAAACGGCUGCUAAUACCGCAUAAGCGCACGGCAUCGCAUGAUGCAGUGUGAAAAACUCCGGUGGUAUAAGAUGGACCCGCGUUGGAUUAGCUAGUUGGUGAGGUAACGGCCCACCAAGGCGACGAUCCAUAGCCGACCUGAGAGGGUGACCGGCCACAUUGGGACUGAGACACGGCCCAAACUCCUACGGGAGGCAGCAGUGGGGAAUAUUGCACAAUGGGCGAAAGCCUGAUGCAGCGACGCCGCGUGAGCGAAGAAGUAUUUCGGUAUGUAAAGCUCUAUCAGCAGGGAAGAUAAUGACGGUACCUGACUAAGAAGCACCGGCUAGAUACGUG